UGCCGGUGUGGCGGAAUUGGCAGACGCGCGGGACUCAAAAUCCCGUUCUUUCACGAGAGUGUCGGUUCGACCCCGACCACCGGUAUC
This 87-nucleotide transfer RNA is filed under the name Halolactibacillus alkaliphilus. RNAcentral's name for it is "tRNA-Leu". It matches the Rfam family "tRNA". From Rfam's summary of the family: Transfer RNA (tRNA) molecules are approximately 80 nucleotides in length. Their secondary structure includes four short double-helical elements and three loops (D, anti-codon, and T loops). Further hydrogen bonds mediate the characteristic L-shaped molecular structure. tRNAs have two regions of fundamental functional importance: the anti-codon, which is responsible for specific mRNA codon recognition, and the 3' end, to which the tRNAs corresponding amino acid is attached (by aminoacyl-tRNA synthetases). tRNAs cope with the degeneracy of the genetic code in two manners: having more than one tRNA (with a specific anti-codon) for a particular amino acid; and 'wobble' base-pairing, i.e. permitting non-standard base-pairing at the 3rd anti-codon position. Lineage: Bacteria; Bacillati; Bacillota; Bacilli; Caryophanales; Bacillaceae. The record is from RNAcentral.